UGGGGUGUCGCCAAGAGGUAAGGCACGGGGUUUUGAUCCCCGCAUUCCCAGGUUCGAAUCCUGGCACCCCAG
Molecule: transfer RNA, 72 nt
Filed under: Nitrosococcus oceani ATCC 19707
Lineage: Bacteria; Pseudomonadati; Pseudomonadota; Gammaproteobacteria; Chromatiales; Chromatiaceae
Also listed under: 2 other names
Rfam family: tRNA
About the family: Transfer RNA (tRNA) molecules are approximately 80 nucleotides in length. Their secondary structure includes four short double-helical elements and three loops (D, anti-codon, and T loops).
Source: Rfam by way of RNAcentral